UGCAGUCGAGCGAACUGAUUAGAAGCUUGCUUCUAUGACGUUAGCGGCGGACGGGUGAGUAACACGUGGGCAACCUGCCUGUAAGACUGGGAUAACUUCGGGAAACCGAAGCUAAUACCGGAUAACAUCAUUCCUUGCAUAAGGAAUGAUUGAAAGAUGGUUUCGGCGUAUCACUUACAGAUGGGCCCGCGGUGCAUUAGCUAGUUGGUGAGGUAACGGCUCACCAAGGCAACGAUGCAUAGCCGACCUGAGAGGGUGAUCGGCCACACUGGGACUGAGACACGGCCCACACUCCUACGGGAGGCAGCAGUAGGGAAUCUUCCGCAAUGGACGAAAGUCUGACGAGAGCAACGCCGCGUGAGUGAUGAAGGCUUUCGGGUCGUAGAACUCUGUUGUUAGGGAAGAACAAGUAUGAGAGUAACUGCUCGUACCUUGACGGUACCUAACCAGAAAGCCACGGCUAACUACGUGCCAGCAGCCGCGGUAAUACGUAGGUGGCAAGCGUUAUCCGGAAUUAUUGCGCGUAAAGCGCGCGCAGGCGGUUUCUUAAGUCUGAUGUGAAAGCCCACGGCU
This 573-nucleotide ribosomal RNA is filed under the name Bacillus sp. PSu2_3. RNAcentral's name for it is "bacterial SSU rRNA". It matches the Rfam family "Bacterial small subunit ribosomal RNA", at positions 56 to 609 of the family's 1533-position model. Lineage: Bacteria; Bacillati; Bacillota; Bacilli; Caryophanales; Bacillaceae. The record is from RNAcentral.